UACAGAGGGGGCGAGCGUUAUUCGGAAUCAUUGGGCGUAAAGCGCACGUAGGCGGUUUUGUAAGUCAGGGGUGAAAUCCCGGGGCUCAACCUCGGAACUGCCUUUGAUACUGCAAAUCUCGAGUCCGGAAGAGGUGAGUGGAAUUCCUAGUGUAGAGGUGAAAUUCGUAGAUAUUAGGAAGAACACCAGUGGCGAAGGCGGCUCACUGGUCCGGUACUGACGCUGAGGUGCGAAAGCGUGGGGAGCAAACAGG
This 253-nucleotide ribosomal RNA is filed under the name uncultured bacterium. RNAcentral describes it as "partial 16S ribosomal RNA". It matches the Rfam family "Bacterial small subunit ribosomal RNA", at positions 524 to 776 of the family's 1533-position model. The record is from RNAcentral.